GACAGAGGUGCCGAGCGUUAGGCGGAAUCACUGGGCUUAAAGCGUGUGUAGGCGGACGGGUAAGUACCUUGUGAAAUCCCACGGCUCAACCGUGGAACUGCUGGGUAUACUGCCUGUCUUGAGCCAGCUAGGGGCGAGCGGAACAGACGGUGGAGCGGUGAAAUGCGUAAAUAUCGUCUGGAACGCCGAAGGUGAAAACAGCUCGCUGGGGCUGCGCUGACGCUGAGACACGAAAGCCAGGGGAGCGAACGGG
This 253-nucleotide ribosomal RNA is filed under the name uncultured bacterium. RNAcentral's name for it is "partial 16S ribosomal RNA". It matches the Rfam family "Bacterial small subunit ribosomal RNA", at positions 524 to 776 of the family's 1533-position model. The record is from RNAcentral.